AGAGUUUGAUCAUGGCUCAGAACGAACGCUGGCGGCGCGCNUAAUACAUGCAAGUCGAACGAGAAUGUGUAGCAAUACACAUGUACAGUGGCGAACGGGUGAGGACUACAUGGGUAACCUACCCUCGAGUGGGGAAUAACUAGCCGAAAGGUUAGCUAAUACCGCGUACGCUUCCAAGACUGCGGUUUUGGAAGGAAAGCGAUACCGUGGGUAUCGCGCUCUUGGAUGGGCUCAUGCCCUAUCAGCUUGUUGGUGAGGUAACGGCUCACCAAGGCUUCGACGGGUAGCUGAUCUGAGAGGAUGAUCAGCCACGCUGGCACUGCGACACGGGCCAGACUCCUACGGGAGGCAGCAGUAAGGAAUAUUGCGCAAUGGGCGAAAGCCUGACGCAGCGACGCCGCCUUGGGGGAUGAAGGUCUUCGGAUUGUAAACCCCUUUCGGGAGGGAAGAUGGGAUGGGGUAACCCAUUCGGACGGUACCUCCAGAAGCAGCCACGGCUAACUUCGUGCUAGCAGCCGCCGGUAAUAC
This 528-nucleotide ribosomal RNA is filed under the name uncultured bacterium. RNAcentral describes it as "bacterial SSU rRNA". It matches the Rfam family "Bacterial small subunit ribosomal RNA", at positions 8 to 526 of the family's 1533-position model. The record is from RNAcentral.